Canis lupus familiaris (dog) is the source of this 1173-nucleotide long non-coding RNA. RefSeq lists it as uncharacterized. NCBI's taxonomy places the organism in Eukaryota, Metazoa, Chordata, Mammalia, Carnivora, Canidae. The record is from RefSeq and is a predicted model, not a curated record. The transcript is spliced from 3 exons.
GAGGAUCAUGCGGCAUCAGAUGGGGAGGCCCCUUGCAGUGCCUCUGGGGCCCCGUGGCACCCCCACCCCUCCCCUGCGCCCCACUUCCUGCAGCCACUUUGGAGCCAGAGACAAAGGCCCGCUCUGGGUGGAAGGUGCGGCCAGUGGGGAUGUGUGCUGGUGCCUGGCUGGCGGGUCCUGAUAAGAGGCCUAGGCUCCCUGUGAAUCAGCAGGAGGUGCUGGGAGCUGGGGGAAGAUAGGGUACGCUGGCGCCUGUCUCUUCUGCCUCUGCGUGCCCCCUCUGGGACCUCCCCAAGCCCUCUCGGAUGGUGAGAGAUCCCGUGGCAAAUGCCAGACCUAUAGAGAGAGCCUUGUGUAACUAUGGUGACUCCUGUCCCAUUAUGUGUUUGCAAGGCUGGGGAAUGUUCUGGCCCCAACAGACCCGAGAUUCAGAAGGCCGUGGGACCCUCGGGUCCUCUCCUGGCUUGCAGGACAAUGUGUAGGAUGGGACACGUGUGGGUUUCUGGAAGUCAAAGGUCUCCCUUCCCGGCAAACUGUCAUCGCCCACUUCCAAGCUGGAGUGAUUGAGGCCUGGGAAGCUUGCUUGGGUCGUGGGAUGCUCAGGGCAGUGAUCGCUCUGCCAUAAGCAGGACUCAAGUGGGUCAGGUGGGUCAGGGCUUCACCACUCUUUUGGAGAUUUGUGGCAUAGGGGUUUGCUGAGGGAGAGAGCCGCAGCUGGCCGAGGCAAAACUUCCAUUUCCUCGUCUACCUUCCUGGUACUGCCUGCCUUCAUCAUCAGGGGGUCCCAAAAGGCAACAUGUAGGGUGCUUGGGAGCUCACGCUCCAGGGCCACAGGGCAGCCUGGCCCCUCCCAUGGCUCAUCUGUCCUAAAAAGGUAGGAAUAAUGGUAGUCUGACCUCAUGGGAAUGAGUUAAUAAUACAGGAAUAUAGUAAAUGCUCCAUAAGUGGGUAAUAUUGUUACCCAGUCCUCUGAGACACACCCCUCGUCUCUGUCCAUCUGGCUCUGUUGUGUUCUCCGGACUCCCUCAGCCGCUGCCACUCUUACGGAGUGGGCUGGCCUCAUGCUAGUGCUCUCCUGAAAUUAAAGACUGGGGUUGAGCUCUCACGCCUACUUGCAAAAAGCUCAAAGUUUGCCAGGCUGCAGGUGACACUACCUGGGGAGUGGGCGGGCCC